CCCCUAGUAACUGCGAGUGAAGCGGGAAAAGCUCAAAUUUAAAAUCUGGCAGUCUUUGGCUGUCCGAGUUGUAAUCUAGAGAAGUGUUAUCCGCGUUGGACCGUGUACAAGUCUCCUGGAAUGGAGCAUCAUAGAGGGUGAGAAUCCCGUCUUUGACAUGGACUACCAGUGCUUUGUGAUGCGCUCUCAAAGAGUCGAGUUGUUUGGGAAUGCAGCUCAAAAUGGGUGGUAAAUUCCAUCUAAAGCUAAAUAUUGGCGAGAGACCGAUAGCGAACAAGUACCGUGAGGGAAAGAUGAAAAGAACUUUGGAAAGAGAGUUAAACAGUACGUGAAAUUGCUGAAAGGGAAACGCUUGAAGUCAGUCGCGUUGGCUGGAAAUCAACCUUGCUUUUGCUGGGCGUACUUUCUAGUCAAUGGGUCAGCAUCAAUUUUGACCAUUGGAAAAAGUGUANGGGAAUGUGGCAUCUUCGGAUGUGUUAUAGCCCCUGCUCGCAUACAAUGGUUGGGAUUGAGGAAUUCAGCAGGGAAAAAA
Molecule: ribosomal RNA, 532 nt
Filed under: Conocybe deliquescens
Lineage: Eukaryota; Fungi; Basidiomycota; Agaricomycetes; Agaricales; Bolbitiaceae
Description: eukaryotic LSU rRNA
Rfam family: Eukaryotic large subunit ribosomal RNA
Source: RNAcentral